This 331-nucleotide ribosomal RNA is filed under the name uncultured eukaryote. RNAcentral describes it as "partial 18S ribosomal RNA". It matches the Rfam family "Eukaryotic small subunit ribosomal RNA", at positions 1470 to 1796 of the family's 1831-position model. The record is from RNAcentral.
CCCUUAGAUGUUCUGGGCCGCACGCGCGCUACACUGUUCGACGCAGCGAGUCUUAACCUUGACCGAAAGGUUUGGGUAAUCUUCAGCAAAGUCGAACGUGAUGGGGAUCGAUCAUUGCAAUUAUUGAUCGUGAACGAGGAAUUCCUAGUAAGUGCAAGUCAUCAGCUUGCGCUGAUUACGUCCCUGCCCUUUGUACACACCGCCCGUCGCUACUACCGAUGGAAUGGUUUAGUGAGAUCUCUGGAUUGACGCUGGCUAGGGGGCGACCCUUGGCCAGGCUGUCGAGAAACUGCUCAAACUUGAUCAUUUAGAGGAAGUAAAAGUCGUAACA